UUUCAUUUACAAUGCUGUAUUAAUUUCUGCGGUACAGCAAAGUGAGGAGUGGGCUGGUGUCCGCGCUCCGCACACAUGCUCCUGAGUGUGCAGUUUGCAGAGCUCGGAGGCGACACGACCCCCUCAAGUACUCUGGACGACUCCCUCUGCCACGUAGAGCGGGAGCCCCCGGGCCACUUUCCUGGCGUCGGAGGAGCCGAUCAUCGCGGGCGCCACAGGACGUCCUAGAAGGACGCGGGUCCAGGGCAGAGGCUCUGGGCUUGGUACCGCCCACCGCCUCCCACCAGGUAGCUUUUGGCCAAAUUACUGGCCUGCUGGAGCCUCCGUCUCUGCCUCUCUGACCUUGGGGUGCCAGCCUCUUCUCUGGCGGGGCGGCAGCUCGGAUGGGUUGUUGCCUUGGUUUCCCGGGUGUGAUGUCACAGCACACAGUGACAUCAGCAUGAGGUUUGGCUGCCUGCCGCCGCUGGGGUACCAGGUCCUUCACGCUGGCCCAGAGUGGGGCUGCAUCCUAAAGUCUGCCCGCUGCCCCUCCACCGGCCCCCAGGCCUUCACGUGGCUUUGGUGUGUGGCUGGCGCCGGCCAGGUCCCCUAGCCACUUGCCUGUCUCCCUGCGGCCUUCAAGCUCCCCAAGGCGGGCGGGUACCCAUCCUGUCCAGAUCCCAGCCCCCCAGGGUGCUGUGGGCCCAGGGCUGGGACCCCAAAGUGUCAAAUCAACGAGUGGCUCUGCCAUCCCCGGCUCAGACCGUGGCUCCGUCCCGCACUGUCCCCAGGCCACCUCCCAGGGAGCUGGCGGGCAGAAUUCCUCAGCGGCUUAACAGAAAGCUGGGAGGGCAUCUUCCCGGGAAAAUGGCCCACGUCCUGGUGCAGCUGUUCUGGAAAAUUACUGAACCACAUAAAAAAUGCCCACGUUCCUGGCUCUGUCGUUUCAUCGCCCGCCGGUGGCCGGGCCUCCUCGGAAGAAAGACAAAGGGAAGAGCGAGCAGGGGUCGGCUGACACCACCGCGGGCCCCGGGGCUUGCCUGGGGGGCUGGGCUGGAGCUCCGUUUUCUCACCACACACGGGCCGGAAGAUUUUGCAUGUUGUCGUUGUGUAAAGGGCUGUCUGUGGUGCCACGGGAUGGGGUGUGAGAUGCAGGUGGAUCUGCACAUCGGUGGGCCUUGGCCCUGGGUGCCAGGUCGGGGGUGCCGCUCUGGGCGGGAGGCAGGCUUGGGCAAGGAAGGCCAUCCUCCGUCCCCUCCCUGGCUCUGCCCAGCUGCAGUCUCUCUGAAGUUGGGUCUUGGCAGUUGUGAGGCCUCUGCUGGCAAAACAAGGCUGGCAGACCCCUGCGGCUGAGCUGUUGAAUGCCACGCGGGCAGGGGGCCUUUCCUCCCCCGCUGGCUCUGGAGCUGGAACCCAGCCAGCUCUGACUCGAGGUGCCGUCACCGCCGCAUGGUGGGAGGGACAUGAGACCCUCAGGAGCCCUGUGGGGACGCAGGCUCGGUUUGGUCGAUGGACGAGGCGCAAACAGAACAGGCCUGGAGCUGGACUUCUUUUCGUUGGAAGGAGAUGUGGGAUUUACUUGGGUGACUCCUCCAGGGGGCGGGGGCUGGGGGGAUGACAACCUAUUUUUAAAGACGCCAGUGGAAAAGUCUUCUUGCAGCUGUGAAAAUACUGCCGGGGUCAGUCAUUCUGGCCCGCGUGUGACGUCUCCGUGAGCGCUGGCGCUGCUGUUUGUUCCAGAGCCUGGAAGGCAGGGUCAGCUUUUGCCCUCCAGAGCCCGAGUUGAAACACGCCCCGGGGGCCUAAGACGCGUUUUUAUCCCUCCCUCCCGCGGGUCCUUACCUGCUGUCAGACCUGCCCUCGGGUCCUCCCUUCUGGCAUCUUCCUAGGCACCUGGAGCAAUCGCGAGGGCGAGAGCCGCCAAGAUGGAUGCUGACGCCCCGAGGAGCAAGGAGCGGGAGAGGGUUGUUUGUUCUGUGCAUUUGCUGGGCCGCCCUCCUAAGCACUUUAUCGGAAAACCGCACACACCCUCUCUGGGCCUCUGGAUAAAUGUCCCUAAAAAGCUGACAUCCCGAGGGGCCCUUUGAUGGCUCUGAUGGCUCUGUCUGGGGUGCCUGGAAGCCUCCACGGCCCCGUCCUCUAAUCUCAGCUACAAGCCCUCAUCCCGGGUUGCCUCUCUGCGGCCCCAGUGAGCUCCUCGGGAUCACACUGACGGAGGGUUUCGGACUCGCUCUGGGCUUCCCUCUGUUCCUUCCACGGUCCUGGGGGGAGGGUGCGGCGGGGAGGCCGCGGGACCCACCUGACGGGUGGAGAAGCAGAGGCUCAGGUGUGUGGAGCCUCUGAGCAAGAGCGCUCAUUCCUUCAGGUCUCAGAGGAGUUCCCACUGCUGUGCAUUGGGUUAAGGAUCUGACUGCAGCGGCUCGGGUGGCUGUGGAGUGGCGGGUUCCAUCUCUCGCCUAGCUCAGGGGGUUAGAGGAUCUGGUGUUGCCACAACCGUGGCUCGGAUUUAAUCCCUGGCCCCGGGAGCGUCCAUAUGCCAUGGGUGUGGCCGUGCAAAGAAAAAAGACAUCUCGGAUGCAAAGAGGCGCCUGUGCCGUAAGAGGGGACACAUCUAAAGGGAACUUGUCCUUGGUCCCAGGCCUGGGUGUUAAGAGGGGCUUCUGCUGUGCUGCGUAUCUGUGACCCUGUAACUGGUGCGACGCGACGAGCGUCUUUGUGCUGAUUUUCCUCAGCGGGGCCUCCCUCGCCCCCUUUGCCGGGGGGGACGGUUACUGCCAGGGGCUAACUCUGCACUGAAGCUUAUGCAGUGCUUUCCACCCCUUCCCCGAGAGAGGCCAACUUUGGGUUCUCUGGAGGCUGUGCCUUUUAUGGUAAGUGGCUGAGCGUCUCUGAGCCCCAGGCUAGGAGAGGUCCCACCCCGAGGGGAGCUGGGGAGAUUCUGUGAGCUUACGGUGUGGGGGCUCAAUGGACCCUGCUUAUCUCAUGGGUACUGUAAGAGCCGGGGAGGGAGUGGUGGGAUUUGGGGAGGCAGAGGAGAGGGGGGCCAGGCGCCACUGCGGGAGUGAGAGCUGGUCAAUGCUUAACAACAAACUCUCUGGAAAGAAGAGUAAAAAGCCCUGAUUCGUCCAUCCACCGAUUUCUCCGGUGUAAAUACUCCCAACGUGGCAGGGGUCGCGCUGCUAAAAGCAGAGCUGGGAAGUAGCACAGUCAGCGCUGGGAGCCCAGGCGGCUGGGGAAGGGCAUCUGACGCCCGGGGGCAGGGGUCGAGGGAGGCAGGUCCAUGGACACUUCGUGUCCACUGUCCCGUGGGGGCCUCCUAACGGCCUUACAAGGCAGGGCUCUUGGGGCAGGAGCGAGUGGGCUCCGGGCUCCACUAGCAGCCUCUGCGUCACAGCGGCAGGACCUCACAGGUGCCGUCGUGGUGCUUGGCGCAGAGGAGCUUGGAAGUCACUUGUUCGGCCUCUGCGUCCGAGAGGCGCUUUGGGGAGGCGGUCCUGCCGCUCCCUGUCCCGCACGGGCCCUGGUGCUGCGGCGGCGCAGUCUGGCUCCUCGGAGACGUUUCAUGGCCCUUCCUCCUUCCUCUCCCGCCUCCCACCCUUGUUUGCGGGCUGCAGCCCCGCCCACGUCCCCUGUCUCUACCGGAGAAGCCCUGUGGGUGACAGCCUCCCUCACACGCCCCAAGUGUCCCUCCUCCAGCAGCACCUUACAGCUCCGGCCAGGGCCACCGUCCCCAGCUCGUCCUGACGGAUUCCCAGGGCUUCCUGCAGAGCAGCAGCCCGGUUCCGGCCCUUGGGACUGGGAGGAAGGUGUUGCUAAGGGAGCUGAUGCUUAUUCCAAACCAUGAGCCGAGACGCACUCCGAUGCGUCCCCAGAGCCACAAUCCGGAGAACCCCAAAUCCCCACAAACUGAGUUUUUGCAGUGGAAGUUUGCCCAUGGUAACGGCCGGGGGCCAGGCCCCACCUGCUGCCACUCCCUACCCUGCCAGCUCUUCGUCAUGGCCCUGCUGGCGGGUCACAGGGUCCCCACCGUGGAUGGCCUUGGCCUCAUUUCCAGGCUCUGGUAUUUUCCUCUCACCUCUCACAUCGCUGCUUCCUGGGCACAGUGCCUGCCCCUGGCACUGCCUUGGUGCCUUUUCCAACUGCCCUCUCGGUCUGGAGCCCCCUUUUUUGCCAUCCUUCAAGCCCAGCCCAAGGCCCAGAUCUUUCAGAAGACGCCCGUUUGUCCCCCUGGUGGCAUGGUGGCUCCUGCGGCUCCUUCUCGUCUUCCGUGAGGUCACGAGGCUCCCGCCUCACCGGGCAGGAAAGACGGGUCUGCUCAGGCGUGGCUCACCCUCGGGGUGGUGCUGACGCUUCUCCUGGUCACGGGUGCCCAGGAUGCCAGCCUUGGAGCCAGGAGGGCUGGGCCCCGGCCCCUCCACCUGUGAACUGUGAGUUUAGACCUUGCCUAUGUGAAAAAGACCCCACUGAGAGAAAAGUGGGUGACAGUGUCUGGAGUCAUGGAUUAUGCGAACCACCCAGGGGAGCAACGGAGCCACGCCGAGGCCCGGAAGCCACGGAGACGGCCACCCGCAUCCCGAAGGCUUGGGGAAGGGCGCCGCGUUUGAGAGUCCAAAGAGCCCUUUCGGCCAGGCUGGCUCCCCGGGCGCUGCCUUGGUUCCCCGUCCCGCAGACGGUCAGCGGCUGUCACUUCCUGCCCUGUCGGCGGCUGUACUGGGCACAACAGGAGAGGCAGGGAAACCUCUGCCGUGGGAGCGGGAGCCCGGAGUUGGCCCCUGGGGCUGGAAGAGCCAAGAGCGGUCGGAGCCCUCCUCCGCCUCCCCCUUGUUUCGGGGGCUCUGGAUUUCCACAUCCGUGAAGGACACGGGCAUCUCCAAACAGGCCGGCCUCGGGCUUUGUGAAAUCCUACCUGAAUCCCCGCCGUUAGCAAAGUGACUCAGAUGUGGGCUGAACGAUCCCUUUGUUCCAGGGAGAAAAUGGUUUCUGCUGAGUGAUCAUCUAGAAACGACUGCAUCUGAUUAGCCGUGGCUUUAUCUUCCCGCGGCGCGCGGGUUUAAUGACGUUCUCGGGAGGACCGUCGAGUCGGGGUGGGGGAAGGGAGCCUUCUUUCUCGGCCGACCUUGAAGGAGGCGGCUGGGCCGGGUUCCCGUCCCGGGAUGCCUGGUGCU
RNAcentral lists this long non-coding RNA (5144 nucleotides) under Sus scrofa (pig). Its description in RNAcentral is "lncRNA (ENSSSCG00015025413.1)". Lineage: Eukaryota; Metazoa; Chordata; Mammalia; Artiodactyla; Suidae. The record is from RNAcentral.